AGCGGAGACAGGUGGUGCAUGGUUGUCGUCAGCUCGUGUCGUGAGAUGUUGGGUUAAGUCCCGCAACGAGCGCAACCCUUACUGUUAGUUGCUACGCAAGAGCACUCUAGCAGGACCGCCGUUGACAAAACGGAGGAAGGUGGGGAUGAUGUCAAAUCAUCAUGCCCCUUAUGACCUGGGCCUCACACGUACUACGAUGGCCAUUAACAGAGGGAGGCAAAGCCGCGAGGCAGAGCAAAACCCUAAAAAUGGUCCCAGUUCGGAUCGCAGGCUGCAACCCGCCUGCGUGAAGUUGGAAUUGCUAGUAAUCGCGGAUCAGCAUGCCGCGGUGAAUACGUUCCCGGGCCUUGUACACACCGCCCGUCACACCAUGGAAGUCGGUAAUGCCCGAAGUCAGUAGCCUAACCGCAAGGGGGGCGCUGCCGAAGGCAGGAUUGAUGACUGGGGUGAAGUCGUAACAAGGUAGCCGUAUCGGAAGGUGCGGUUGGAUCACCUCCUU
Molecule: ribosomal RNA, 499 nt
Filed under: uncultured bacterium
Lineage: Bacteria
Description: bacterial SSU rRNA
Rfam family: Bacterial small subunit ribosomal RNA
Source: RNAcentral